UACGUAGGGUGCGAGCGUUGUCCGGAAUUAUUGGGCGUAAAGAGCUUGUAGGCGGUUUGUCGCGUCUGCCGUGAAAAUCCGGGGCUCAACCCCGGACUUGCGGUGGGUACGGGCAGACUAGAGUGUGGUAGGGGAGACUGGAAUUCCUGGUGUAGCGGUGAAAUGCGCAGAUAUCAGGAGGAACACCAAUGGCGAAGGCAGCUCGCUGGGACGGUACUGACGCUGAGACGCGAAAGCGUGGGGAGCAAACAGG
Molecule: ribosomal RNA, 253 nt
Filed under: uncultured bacterium
Lineage: Bacteria
Description: partial 16S ribosomal RNA
Rfam family: Bacterial small subunit ribosomal RNA
Source: RNAcentral